UACGUAGGUGGCAAGCGUUGUCCGGAUUUACUGGGCGUAAAGAGCGCGCAGGCGGUCGUUCAAGUCGCGUGUGAAAGCCCCCGGCUCAACUGGGGAGGGUCACGCGAUACUGAUCGACUGGAAGGCAGGAGAGGGUAGUGGAAUUCCACGUGUAGCGGUGAAAUGCGUAGAGAUGUGGAGGAACACCAGUGGCGAAGGCGACUCUUUGGUCUGUAACUGACGCUGAGGCGCGAAAGCGUGGGGAGCAAACAGG
Molecule: ribosomal RNA, 253 nt
Filed under: uncultured bacterium
Lineage: Bacteria
Description: partial 16S ribosomal RNA
Rfam family: Bacterial small subunit ribosomal RNA
Source: RNAcentral